This is a long non-coding RNA of Arabidopsis thaliana (thale cress), 241 nucleotides long. RefSeq annotates it as other RNA. The record is from RefSeq. Lineage: Eukaryota; Viridiplantae; Streptophyta; Magnoliopsida; Brassicales; Brassicaceae. The transcript has a single exon.
UCAAUGGACCCUAUGGGAAAGCUGGAAACACACAAGAGACAAUCAUGAGACUAUUGAAAAAAGAUGACAAAAUAAUACAGAUUCUGUCUGUCAGACAAAUAAUACAAAAAACGUCGGUUAUUUUUAUUUUUCGCUAAUCCCAAAAAAAAACGAUCGGUACUGUUCACAGAGAAUCAUGACAAAACGUAUUUACACAAAAGAGGACAAAAAAGAGAACCUGAGAAGAAGAAGAAGUAGAAGA